This 469-nucleotide ribosomal RNA is filed under the name uncultured bacterium. RNAcentral describes it as "partial 16S ribosomal RNA". It matches the Rfam family "Bacterial small subunit ribosomal RNA", at positions 28 to 507 of the family's 1533-position model. The record is from RNAcentral.
GAUGAACGCUGGCGGCGUGCUUAACACAUGCGAGUCGAACGGUGAACACGGAGCUUGCUCUGUGGGAUCAGUGGCGAACGGGUGAGUAACACGUGAGCAACCUGCCCCUGACUCUGGGAUAAGCGCUGGAAACGGCGUCUAAUACUGGAUAUGUGACGUGACCGCAUGGUCUGCGUUUGGAAAGAUUUUUCGGUUGGGGAUGGGCUCGCGGCCUAUCAGCUUGUUGGUGAGGUAAUGGCUCACCAAGGCGUCGACGGGUAGCCGGCCUGAGAGGGUGACCGGCCACACUGGGAUUGAGACACGGCCCAGACUCCUACGGGAGGCAGCAGUGGGGAAUAUUGCACAAUGGGCGAAAGCCUGAUGCAGCAACGCCGCGUGAGGGAUGACGGCCUUCGGGUUGUAAACCUUUUUUAGCAGGGAAGAAGCGAAAGUGACGGUACCUGCAGAAAAAGCGCCGGCUAACUACGUG